Molecule: ribosomal RNA, 650 nt
Filed under: Anaplasma phagocytophilum
Lineage: Bacteria; Pseudomonadati; Pseudomonadota; Alphaproteobacteria; Rickettsiales; Anaplasmataceae
Description: bacterial SSU rRNA
Rfam family: Bacterial small subunit ribosomal RNA
Source: RNAcentral
CAGGAUUAGAUACCCUGGUAGUCCACGCUGUAAACGAUGAGUGCUGAAUGUGGGGGUUUUUUACCUCUGUGUUGUAGCUAACGCGUUAAGCACUCCGCCUGGGGACUACGGUCGCAAGACUAAAACUCAAAGGAAUUGACGGGGACCCGCACAAGCGGUGGAGCAUGUGGUUUAAUUCGAUGCAACGCGAAAAACCUUACCACUCCUUGACAUGGAGAUUAUAUCCUUCUUAACGGAAGGGCGCAGUUCGGCUGGAUCUCGCACAGGUGCUGCAUGGCUGUCGUCAGCUCGUGUCGUGAGAUGUUAGGUUAAGUCCCGCAACGAGCGUAACCCUCAUCCUUAGUUGCCAGCGGGUUAAGCCGGGCACUUUAAGGAAACUGCCAGUGGUAAACUGGAGGAAGGUGGGGAUGAUGUCAAGUCAGCACGGCCCUUAUGGGGUGGGCUACACACGUGCUACAAUGGUGACUACAAUAGGUUGCAAUGUCGUAAGGCUGAGCUAAUCCGUAAAAGUCAUCUCAGUUCGGAUUGUCCUCUGCAACUCGAGGGCAUGAAGUCUGAAUCGCUAGUAAUCGUGGAUCAGCAUGCCACGGUGAAUACGUUCUCGGGUCUUGUACACACUGCCCGUCACGCCAUGGGAAUUGGCUUAACUC